RNAcentral lists this ribosomal RNA (451 nucleotides) under uncultured bacterium. RNAcentral describes it as "bacterial SSU rRNA". It matches the Rfam family "Bacterial small subunit ribosomal RNA", at positions 8 to 447 of the family's 1533-position model. The record is from RNAcentral.
AGAGUUUGAUCCUGGCUCAGAGCGAACGCUGGCGGCGUGCUUAACACAUGCAAGUCGAGUGCGCAGUUCUCUGUAGCAAUACAGGGGAUGGGCGCACGGCGCACGGGUGCGUAACACGUGGGCAAUCUGCCCUCGGAUGGGGGAUAACUCGUCGAAAGGCGAGCUAAUACCGCAUGACAUUCCGAAGACUCCGGUCUUUGGACUCAAAGGCCGCAAGGCCGUCUGAGGAGGAGCCCGCGCCCGAUUAGCUAGUUGGUGAGGUAACGGCUCACCAAGGCUUUGAUCGGUAGCCGGUCUGAGAGGAUGGCCGGCCACACUGGAACUGAGACACGGUCCAGACUCCUACGGGAGGCAGCAGUGGGGAAUAUUGCGCAAUGGGCGAAAGCCUGACGCAGCGACGCCGCGUGGGGGAUGAAGCUUCUCGGAGUGUAAACCCCUUUCGACCCGGACG